UGGGGAAUAUUGGACAAUGGGGGCAACCCUGAUCCAGCGAUGCCGCGUGUGUGAAGAAGGCCUGAGGGUUGUAAAGCACUUUUGUUGGGGAGGAUUGCUGUUGGCUUAAUAGGCCAAACAGUUGACGUUACCCAAAGAAUAAGCACCGGCUAACUCUGUGCCAGCAGUCGCGGUAAUACAGAGGCCACAAGCGUUAGUCGGAAUCACUGGGCUUAAAGGGUGCGUAGGCUGGUCCGCAAGCGUCUUGUGAAAGCCCUCGGCUCAACCGAGGAACAGCAGGGCGAACUGCGGAUCUUGAGGCAGGUAGGGGUCGCGAGAACAGUAGGUGGAGCGGUGAAAUGCGUAGAUAUCUACUGGAAUGCCGAUGGUGAAGACGCGCGACUGGGCCUGUCCUGACGCUGAGGCACGAAAGCGUGGGGAGCAAACAGGAUUAGAUACCCCAGUAGUCCCUGAGCGGGCUGGCAAGGCGCAU
This 472-nucleotide ribosomal RNA is filed under the name uncultured bacterium. RNAcentral's name for it is "bacterial SSU rRNA". It matches the Rfam family "Bacterial small subunit ribosomal RNA", at positions 355 to 825 of the family's 1533-position model. The record is from RNAcentral.